UUUGGAAUUUGGGGUUUGGGUUGGGAAUACAAUGAGGAGGUCAUUUCUGGGAUAGCUAUUCCACGACUAGGUAUCUUAGUCUCAAUAAAAUGGAAAAAGGAAAAACACAAGAUUAGAUUUUCUUCUGUUGCUUACAAGGGACGAAUUGAGCAACAUAGUUGGGAAGAGGAUAGUUAGAUUAUAAACAAUUGUUGAAUUUGUUAAACAACUCUUGGACUUUU
This 221-nucleotide unclassified non-coding RNA is filed under the name Hevea brasiliensis (rubber tree). The record is from RNAcentral. Lineage: Eukaryota; Viridiplantae; Streptophyta; Magnoliopsida; Malpighiales; Euphorbiaceae.